UGGGGGUGAUUUCAGGGAAAGUGCCACAGAGAGCAGACUACCCCGCCUCGGCGGGGCAAAGGUGAAAGGGUGCGGUAAGAGCGCACCGGGGACCUGGCGACAGGGACCGCAUGGUAAACCCCACCGGGAGCAAGACCGAAUAGGGACGGCGCGGGGCUUCGGCCCCAGCCUUGUUUUCAGGCCAGUCGUCCGGGUUGGUUGCACGAGGCGCGCAGCAAUGCGCGUCCCAGAUGAAUGGCUACCACGUCCGUCCCUUCGGGGGCGGGCCCUACAGAACCCGGCUUACAGGUCAACUGGCGUU
RNAcentral lists this RNase P RNA (301 nucleotides) under Alphaproteobacteria bacterium. RNAcentral describes it as "partial RNase P RNA component class A". It matches the Rfam family "Bacterial RNase P class A", at positions 89 to 367 of the family's 367-position model. Rfam says of the family: Ribonuclease P (RNase P) is a ubiquitous endoribonuclease, found in archaea, bacteria and eukarya as well as chloroplasts and mitochondria. Its best characterised activity is the generation of mature 5'-ends of tRNAs by cleaving the 5'-leader elements of precursor-tRNAs. Lineage: Bacteria; Pseudomonadati; Pseudomonadota; Alphaproteobacteria. The record is from RNAcentral.